GCAGCCGCGGUAAUACGUAGGUGGCAAGCGUUAUCCGGAUUUACUGGGUGUAAAGGGCGUGUAGGCGGGAUUGCAAGUCAGACGUGAAAACUAUGAGCUCAACUCAUAGCCUGCGUUUGAAACUGUAGUUCUUGAGUGUCGGAGAGGUAAUCGGAAUUCCGUGUGUAGCGGUGAAAUGCGUAGAUAUACGGAGGAACACCAGUGGCGAAGGCGGAUUACUGGACGAUAACUGACGCUGAGGCGCGAAAGCGUGGGGAGCAAACAGGAUUAGAUACCCC
Molecule: ribosomal RNA, 278 nt
Filed under: uncultured Rikenellaceae bacterium
Lineage: Bacteria; Pseudomonadati; Bacteroidota; Bacteroidia; Bacteroidales; Rikenellaceae
Description: partial 16S ribosomal RNA
Rfam family: Bacterial small subunit ribosomal RNA
Source: RNAcentral